GCCUCGGUGGUGUAUUGGUAGAGCACGCGUCCUCGGAUAGGAUGAACGCUGAUUCGAUUUCAACCCUGAGGCC
Parelaphostrongylus tenuis is the source of this 73-nucleotide non-coding RNA. Lineage: Eukaryota; Metazoa; Nematoda; Chromadorea; Rhabditida; Metastrongylidae. The record is from the annotation of a GenBank genome assembly.